Molecule: ribosomal RNA, 460 nt
Filed under: uncultured bacterium
Lineage: Bacteria
Description: partial 16S ribosomal RNA
Rfam family: Bacterial small subunit ribosomal RNA
Source: RNAcentral
CCUACGGGAGGCAGCAGUGAGGAAUAUUGGUCAAUGGCCGUAAGGCUGAACCAGCCAAGUCGCGUGAAGGAAGAAGGAUCUAUGGUUUGUAAACCUCUUUUAUAGGGGAAUAAAGGUAUCCACGUGUGGCUAUUUGCAUGUACCCUAUGAAUAAGCAUCGGCUAACUCCGUGCCAGCAGCCGCGGUAAUACGGAGGAUGCGAGCGUUAUCCGGAUUUAUUGGGUUUAAAGGGUGCGUAGGUGGUUUUUUAAGUCCGCGGUUAAAGUUUGUGGCUCAACCAUAAAAUUGCCGUUGAAACUGGCAGUCUUGAGUGUGUUUGAAGUAGGCGGAAUGCGUGGUGUAGCGGUGAAAUGCAUAGAUAUCACGCAGAACUCCGAUUGCGAAGGCAGCUUACUGGACUGCAACUGACACUGAGGCUCGAAAGUGUGGGUAUCAAACAGGAUUAGAUACCCCUGUAGUC